Molecule: ribosomal RNA, 307 nt
Filed under: uncultured Bacteroides sp.
Lineage: Bacteria; Pseudomonadati; Bacteroidota; Bacteroidia; Bacteroidales; Bacteroidaceae
Description: bacterial SSU rRNA
Rfam family: Bacterial small subunit ribosomal RNA
Source: RNAcentral
AAGUCGAGGGGCAGCGGGAUUGAAGCUUGCUUCAAUUGCCGGCGACCGGCGCACGGGUGAGUAACGCGUAUCCAACCUUCCGCUUACUCGGGGAUAGCCUUUCGAAAGAAGGAUUAAUACCCGAUGGUAUGAUGAGAUUGCAUGAUAGCAUCAUUAAAGAUUUAUUGGUAAGCGAUGGGGAUGCGUUCCAUUAGGUAGUAGGCGGGGUAACGGCCCACCCAGCCGACGAUGGAUAGGGGUUCUGAGAGGAAGGUCCCCCACAUUGGAACUGAGACACGGUCCAAACUCCUACGGGAGGCAGCAGUGA